Molecule: long non-coding RNA, 2377 nt
Filed under: Androctonus crassicauda
Lineage: Eukaryota; Metazoa; Arthropoda; Arachnida; Scorpiones; Buthidae
Source: RNAcentral
AGAUUUAAAAAUUAUAAAUUGCACUCUCUUGACGCUUACUUUUAAAGUCAUCAGUUUUAAUUUAAUGGCUUUUGCUAAGACCAGUAAAAAUUAUCUACUCCUCCUCGUACCAGACAAAUUUUAGAUAUACACAUUUAAGUUUUAUAAAAUAUUAAAAUGGUAGCUUGCAUACUUGUAAGCAGUUGUUACAGAUUUUCAAAAAAAUCUUAAGUUUCAAGUAAGUUUGAUUAAUAAGAAUGGAAUAACGUUAGUCUGAUGGAAACAGUGUGUUUGCGUAAUUUUGUUUACAACAUAAUUAUGCAUACUUGAUUUGCUAACAUAUAUUAACUUAUUUUCGAUAGUAAAGUCAUUUCUCAUAUGGUAAAUGGAGCAAAUUUUUAGUGGAGACAAUAAAUUUUUGAUCUAUUAAAUUGAUUCGCAUGUUUAUAUAUAAUUAUCAGCCAUAUAGAAAUAAUAUAAACAGUUGCGGUCGUAUAACAGCUCAAUUCGAAGAAACAUGAUAUAAACUUGUCAGGGAUUUGAACCGGGACACUCCAAAAGUACGGUAUAUUGAUAAAAAUAACACGAAACCGAGUUCAUAGUUCAAAUUCCAUUUGUUUGAAGGUUAUCUGUUCAAAUGUUUUUCUGUUUAUGCAUAAUAUAGAAGAAUGCUAAGGCUUUACGAUGUAAACUAGAUGUAGGCCUACAGUAGUCACACACACAUACUAAGCUAGAACGAAUUCUAAAUACGCUUUAUAUUGUUUUCUGUAUCAAAAAUGCUUUAGAAUCAUUUUUAUAAUCACCGUCAUAACUUUGGAUUUUAAAGCCGAGUAAAGUAUAUAAAAAUUUUCUCUCGAUAAAAGUUGCCAUCGUAACGAUACAACGCUUUCCCUGGCGAAUUUUUUGAGCAUUUCAAAACUAAUGUAAUUUCUAUUAGUAAGAUACGUAUUUCAUUUUUGUGAAAAUUAACCAUUCGCGCAAUUUUCAUUUACCGAUUUAUUCGCGUGGUAGUUUUCUUUUUUAUCGCAGAAUGGCCUAAAAAAAACGGUUCCAAGAUCGUUUAAGUUUUCUUGUUCUGCGUGACAUUGGCGAUUGAUAUAAAAGUAGAUUAAUAAAUAUAGAAAUAUCGUGUACAGUAUAUUUAUCAUCGACAUAUAAUUCAUCGAUUGUUUUCGGCGUACGGACAUUAUCGUAAUAAAUAUUUACAGUACGCUCGGAUCAAAUGGAAAUUAUGAUAAAUCGACGGUUGGUAACCUGCUAUUUUCUUGGUCAGAUUUCGUCUACAUUUCGUAGCGAAUUUCGUGCGCUGUUAAAAAUCGGAAUAAAAUUCUCUCUCGCAGCGUAUAACAUUCGUAAGGAACUUAAGAGAAAAAAUUCGGUUCAUAAAUUUGAUACUUUGAUGAUGAUUAAUUUUUUGAAGUGCAAAUCUAACAUUUUAGAUCUGUUUAUAGGUAAAAAUUAUUCUAGUUUGUUUACUGAUGAGCAAAGUCCACUCAAUAGAGAUAUUUCCGGGUGAUACUCUAUAUAUCAAAUUGUUUACAGGCUUUAGCUGCCGUUAUGUAUGUUUUAUUGAAUGUUGCUGUUUUUCAAAAACUGGUCAACAUGCUUAGUCUCAAAAAUUAUAAAGCAAAUUUACUGACAGUUUUAGUUGCAUUAUUUAGGCGAAAGUAUUUUGGAACAACAAUUAUAAACUUCUAGACCCGAGUUGAAAAUUGCUAUAAUGAAGAUGAAUAUCGCCAGGUCUGUUAGGAUAGGCGUGUCUAUCUUAUCCCGAAUUUGGUUUUGUGAUCAUUACCAUUGUUCAUCACAUGUUUAAUUUAUCAUAGAAUGACCGUCGAAGUAAAUUUUCGCAUAAGAUGACUGGAAGAAGUCGUUACAUGAGUGAUAGCCACAGUUAAAAAUGUUCAACCACGUCCGUGCACCGCGGCAAGUAGAGGAGUGAAGAUGCGGCAGUAUGCAUAGAAAAGUAAUGCUCCUAAUUCGUCUGUUCAGCGAGUUCUGGAGCUCAAUAAGUACCGCCCGCACAAAGUGCAUAUUCAUCACUUGAGUGAUCCAUAAAGUGGGCUGUUGGUUUAGUGAAACAAUGAAAUCAAUAGUAACUGAUGAUUUGUCAAUUUCUCUACUUGCUUUCCUUUGUCACUUUACGAAAUAUUUGUUUUGGUAGCAGAUUUUUAUUCCUUAAAUACCUAAAGGCUUUUUAAGAGAUCACCGAAGUCCUUAAACUAUUUUAACAGAUUUUAAACACACACUCACGUGUAUAAGUUUGUUAUAAUGCGCUGUGUUCUUGUCUAUAAACUUGUAUGUAGUUUUACUGCAUAACUGUAUACAUUUUUAUAUAGAAACACAGCAAUUUAAAUGAUUCAGAAGACUCCAGAUCUAAGUCGGAUAAGUUUUGAAG